GUUUGAUCAUGGCUCAGGAUGAACGCUAGCGGCAGGCCUAACACAUGCAAGUCGAGGGGUAGAGUUCUUCGGGACUUGAGACCGGCGCACGGGUGCGUAACGCGUAUGCAAUCUACCUUAUACAGGGGAAUAGCCCAGAGAAAUUUGGAUUAAUGCCCCAUAGUGUUAUCGAAUCGCAUGGUUUGAUAACUAAAGUUCCAACGGUAUAAGAUGAGCAUGCGCCCCAUUAGUUAGUUGGUAAGGUAACGGCUUACCAAGGCAACGAUGGGUAGGGGUCCUGAGAGGGAGAUCCCCCACACUGGUACUGAGACACGGACCAGACUCCUACGGGAGGCAGCAGUGGGGAAUAUUGGACAAUGGGCGAAAGCCUGAUCCAGCCAUGCCGCGUGUGUGAAGAAGGUCUUCGGAUUGUAAACUGCUUUUAUACAGGAAGAAACACUCCGACGUGUCGGAGCUUGACGGUACUGUAAGAAUAAGGAUCGGCUAACUCCGUG
This 494-nucleotide ribosomal RNA is filed under the name uncultured bacterium. RNAcentral's name for it is "bacterial SSU rRNA". It matches the Rfam family "Bacterial small subunit ribosomal RNA", at positions 11 to 507 of the family's 1533-position model. The record is from RNAcentral.